This is an RNA transcript of Oncorhynchus keta (chum salmon), 3848 nucleotides long. RefSeq lists it as uncharacterized. The transcript is spliced from 5 exons. NCBI's taxonomy places the organism in Eukaryota, Metazoa, Chordata, Actinopteri, Salmoniformes, Salmonidae. The record is from RefSeq and is a predicted model, not a curated record.
UCCUGGGCUGAGUCUCCUUCUACACAUCUGAACAAACAUUGCAUCUUUACUGCAAUGCCUGCCACGUGUGAUCGCUUUCCCUGCACUCAGCACAUUCCAAGCUUAAUUCACCACACUAUAUACCUUCUUCCUACAGAUAACCAUUAACUUCUUCUUUUACUGGAAUACCAUAAUAUGAAGGUGUCACACAAUCUUUGACAGCUAUGAGUUCACAUUUAUUAAUGUUAAGAAGACCAGACGCUUUGGAAAAUGAUUGUAAUCACAUUGAUCGAUAAAGGAAUUUCGUUUUCAGAAAAAGUGUACUAUCGUAAGCCAGCUGGUUGAUCAUCCUAGUAUUUUUGUCAGCCAUGUUGUGAAAGUGGUGUCUUUUGUUUUUCACGCUAUUUAUAUAGGCUAUCGCAGUUGUAGGUUUUUGUUUUUCACGCUAUUUAUAUAGGCUAUCGCAGUUGUAGGUUUUUGUUUUUCACGCUAUUUAUAUAGGCUAUCGCAGUUGUAGGUUUUUGUUUUUCACGCUAUUUAUAUAGGCUAUCGCAGUUGUAGUUUUUUUUUGUCGAUAUAAUGUUACAGGCAGAGUAGAAUAAUACGAACACGCCGACUUUCAUUCCGCUCAUAAUGUCUAAACUACAGUUGCUGAACGUGUAUCUUACUGACCGACCAACAGCGCCUGCUGCUCUAGAGAUAUCCGUAGCCAAAGAGACAACCAUACCAGAGCUGCAUGAAGAAGUCUACCGUUUGAAUGGCCGUCUACGAAGACUGUUGGAUUUGGUUUUCAAGCCAGAGUUAAAGUUACGCAGAGCAGGUUUGUAUUGCCUAGUUACUAUAUUAGCUAGUGUUAUAUAACUAUUCAUAUAUCAAGCAUUACUAGCUGGCCAACGCUCUGGUUAAACCGGAUGUCCUCAGAUAACUCUGGGCCCAGUGUCCUCAGUCAAGUUUAGAGCCUACGUGCAAUAGCAGCCAUGUGUCUUUUGGAUAAUUAUGUUAUCACUCAAAUAUACUCCCCUGCAACACUAACGAGCUUAGAGUGCCAAACUAUCUCACUGACAUUGAUCCUUGCAUGCACCCCUGCAUAAACAGGAAACACCUGAGCCUAACGCAGAAACUGCCAGUUCCCCUUAUCUCACGCUUCCUUGACACACAGACAUUUCAUAAGCACGUACUCACACUCCACACCCCUCUACUGGUCGGGUGCCAAGAGCAAAGGACUCUACUGUGCACCAAUGGGGCUCCAGCUCUGGCUAGAGCAGGCCCGCCUCCAACUCUUCAGGACCAGUCAGAAGACCAACACGACGAGACUCCACCUACAUUAUUCUGUGUAUACAUUCUGCUGCAAACUCUGUCAAAGCAGCCUAAUUAGCUGACUCCUCACAGAGUCAUAUGUUUAGGUCCGUGCACGCUUAACUGCAGGACAAGAUAUCUCUGACUUUAAAUAAACUGCCUUUUUGCUACACUUGAUUCCACUCUGUCCAGCGUCGUUGUUUUGCACUCCCUCUCCAGUAUGUGAACACCAACAUUAGCCAAGUAUCUGAACGCCUCCACGGAGUUGAGCGCAGGUUAAGAAAAAUGAAUAAACCUCGAACUGGAGUCUCUGUGCAGUCGACAUGUCAAAAUGUAAGUUCUUAAACUACGGACGUCAAAAACAUUCAGUCUGCGAAGACUAUGGGGGCUAGUUUAGAGCGCCAGAUUUCCAGCAGCUCACUCUCCCCAUAUCUGAAGAGGUUCCCCCUGAACAGCAGCACUGUGAGCAGGAGUGGAGCACCAGUCUGAUUCAGGAGGACCCAGUGCCCACACAGAUUAAAGAGGAACAGGAGGAACUACAGACCAGUCAAGAGGAAGAUCAGCUUCUAGGGCCCUUUCAUACCAAAGACUCCAUAUUCACUUCUCCCUUUGUGGAAAGUGACUGUGAUCAGGAGAACCCAUCUCAGCCCUCACAUCUACACCAAACCCAAACUGUGGAGGACAGAGAGAGGGACCCUCUACUCACCGACACAUCUAUAGAGAUCAAACUAGAACCUGAUGUAGAGGACUACAGAGUAUCAGAACCAGCCAGUGAUUCUCAGCCCCUCUCUCCAGUAACUCCAGACUGUUCUGCAGCUCAGUGUGAAAACAUGGAAAGUGAUGAUAAGGUGGAGAGUAGAGGACAGCAAUCAGGAUCUAAGACACUCGAAUCAAAGAGAAAACAGAUUGAGAAUGGAGAAAGCUCUCAUACCAAUACUGGAGGCAGGACGGCCACUAUGUUGCCCCAUUUGACAUCUAGUCAAACUUAUGCUGCUCCUAAUUGUAAGAAGCGUUCCAUCCGUAUGUGUGGGGAGUGUGAGCCAUGCAGGAGGACUGAGGACUGUGCUCAGUGUGAUUUCUGUAAAGACAUGAAGAAGUUUGGAGGAUCCAAUAAGAAAAGACAGAAGUGCAGACUCAGGCAGUGUGACGUCCGCGCUCCGGAAAUGCUGCGUGUGAAGGAUGAGGAGGUUGACCUGUCUGGCUUGGGGAGCAGGGGGAGCCUGAGGAGAGGAGGACAUCGGUCUGAUGACUACAGUGAGAAUGAGAUGGAAUGUGAUGAAGCUGCACGCCCGUCAUUAUAAAAAUGCACUGAACCAACAUGCAUGGUUGUUGAUGACACUCUGAUGUUUAGAUGAACAGAAUGAAAUAGUCUCUAUAAUGCUCUCUAUAAUACAGCGCUUUAACUCAGACAGCUGUUUGUAGCUGCUGGAAAAGCAUUUCAAAGCCUAAACUUAACUCAGGAUGGAACUUUCCAGUGCUACUGUUUUUGCCAUGUAAUAUUUUUAUGAAAACAAAAUCAGACAACCAUAUAGUAGAAUAGUUGAUCUAUUUAUCUAGUCUGCUUGUUGUGUGUUCUAUGUGAGAUAAAUAUUCCUCUCGAGGUGCAUUCAAGUUGUGGGAGCCAUAGGAGGGAAACAAGUUCUCUGACAAGCAGUCAAUGCACAGCAAGUCUUAAUGUUAUCUCGCAAAAACACUUUUAAAAGCAGUUUUGUCCCUUAAAAAAAUUAGGGGGAACCCAGUUUUACAUUGCUGCCACGUUUAUUUCUCGACUCCUUCAAUUGCGUGUGGCAUCGUUAAACAAAUGCAGAGUUUCAAGCAUGGUGUAGGUGCAACACAGCAAAUAAAUUCAUUAAAAUCCUACAAUGUGAUUUUCUGGAUUGUUUUUCUCAUUUUGUCUGUCAUAGUUGAAGUGUACCUAUGAUGAAAAUUACAGGCCUCAUCUUUUUAAGUGGGAGAACUUGCACAAUUGGUGGCUGACUAAAUACUUUUUUACCCCACUGUAUUACUGCCAUUUGAUUUAACGAUCUCCUGUGGUAUGUAUUUGCGGCCGUGGCACAGUGAUCAAGGGUUCCUUUGACCCUGUGCAGCAUCAAACAGCCAUCAAGGUCAAACAUCAAGAGCUGAGAGACGUGACAAGGAGAAAGUACAACCUUCUCCAUAACAUGAAGGUCGGCAUUGUUUGUGGUGCAAAAAUCGCUGUUAAUGCCGCAAUCUUCUAUUGCUAUAUAUUUAUUUGGAAUUUUAAAAUGAAUGAUGUACCUAUACUCUUGUAGAAUAUAGCUUAGAAAUGCUUCAGUCAUGAACUGAAACUAAUGUGGAUGUUAUGGAUGGUCAUCCCACAAGCAGCAACACAUUACACCACAUGUAAAUUACAUGAGGUAGGUUUCCAUGGCGACAGAUUUCCAUGCAAAUAUUCUAGUUUGCAUAAACAAAACGUGCAUUUACCCACCCGUGCCGUGGUUCCACCAAACAAGACUUGUUGCAGAUUUUUAAAAAAAUCAGUGCGUGAUAAAGUAGUACACAUAAUGUACUUUAACUUAAAGAUGCCCUUCAGGACCUUAAGCAUAACAUAU